CCCGGACCGAACCCUGUCAGAGAGGUGUUCCAGAGACAGCCAGGCGAGGUGUGUGUGGCCUGGACUCCUCAACCACAGCACCAAGCCCAACACCAGUACCAAGCCCAGCACCAAGCCCAGCACCAGCACCAAGCCCAGCACCAAUCCCAACACCAGCGCCAACCACAGCACCAAGCUCAGCACCAGCACCAAGCCCAACACCAGCACCAAGCCCAACACCAAGCCCAGCACCAAGCCCAACACCAAGCCCAGCACCAAGCCCAGCACCAAGCCCAACACCAGCACCAAGCCCAGCACCAAGCCCAACACCAGCACCAACACCAAGCCCAGCACCAAGCCCAACACCAAGCCCAGCACAUAGCCCAGCAACAAGCCCAACACCAGCACCAAGCCCAACACCAGCGCCAACCACAGCACCAAGCCCAGCACCAGCACCAAGCCCAACACCAGCACCAAGCCCAACACCAAGCCCAGCACCAAGCCCAACACCAAGCCCAGAACCAAGCCCAGCACCAAGCCCAGAACCAAGCCCAGCACCAAGCCCAACACCAGCACCAAGCCCAACACCAAGCCCAGCACCAAGCCCAGCACCAAUACCAGUCCCAUCUUCAGUCCCAGCCCAACCAGGAACCAGACCUCCAGCUGACCACAGCCCACUAUCAACCAGGAAACAGACCUCCAGCUGACCACAGCCCACUCUCAACCAGGAACCAGACCUCCAGCUGACCACAGCCCACUCUCAGACCUCCAGCUGACCCCAGCCCACCAGGAACCAGACCUCCAGCUGACCACAGCCCAAUCUCAACCAGGAAACAGACCUCCGCUCUGCUCCGCUCGCUUACCAAGAAUAGGAGAGGAACUAACUGGGCCCAUAUUGUGUCUCCACAUCCCAGAAGGACAAUAAAUAAAUGAGUAUGUUUAUAAUCUCACAAAGAGAGAACAAUGAAGUUGGAGAGAGAGAGGGUCUCAACAGUGUGUUCAGUAAAGGGUCUCUGACUGUCAACAAA
Molecule: long non-coding RNA, 1007 nt
Organism: Oncorhynchus tshawytscha (Chinook salmon)
Lineage: Eukaryota; Metazoa; Chordata; Actinopteri; Salmoniformes; Salmonidae
Source: Ensembl